Molecule: long non-coding RNA, 533 nt
Filed under: Populus trichocarpa (black cottonwood)
Lineage: Eukaryota; Viridiplantae; Streptophyta; Magnoliopsida; Malpighiales; Salicaceae
Description: long non-coding RNA (PTRI_LNC004118)
Source: RNAcentral
GAUAAUAAAGGAAGAAGAUGUUAGUAGCGAUAAUAGAGCAAUUUUCAAAUCAAGAGGGGCGCAUAUCGCGGCUGACAUCCCUCGCCACCGUGAUGCACGCCGGCUUACCAAAAACUCAUACGUCCUCUCGCUAUAAAAGCCAGAGGAGGAGCCGAACAAAAAAGGAGAAGAGAAGGGGGGAGGAAGAGAGGCUACAGUGAGGAGAAAAACAGAAGGGAGACAGUUUAGGAGAACGUGAGAAAAUUGAGAGAUCGGAGAAAUAGUGAGAAAGCAAAAGGGAGAGAAGAGGAAGCAAACCGAACGGAAGCAGAGGACACGGUGAAGCAGAGAACGCAGCACCACCAUCGUCUCUUUCUUCUCAAAACCAGGUGUGUUCACUGCCUUUCUCAGUUCCUACAGAAUGAGAUGAUGCAUGUUAGUAUGUAAAAAACGAAAAGAAAACAUAAGGAAACCAACACCGAGAAUCACCAGUUGCAACACUUUGUUUUUUCUUUUGUUUCAUUCUCGCACAGCAAGAAAGGUGAUGAACAGUG